This 240-nucleotide ribosomal RNA is filed under the name uncultured bacterium. RNAcentral's name for it is "partial 16S ribosomal RNA". It matches the Rfam family "Bacterial small subunit ribosomal RNA", at positions 8 to 237 of the family's 1533-position model. The record is from RNAcentral.
AGAGUUUGAUCAUGGCUCAGGAUGAACGCUAGCGACAGGCCUAACACAUGCAAGUCGAGGGGCAGCGGAGAGGUAGCAAUACCUUUGCCAGCGACCGGCGCACGGGUGAGUAACACGUAUGCAAUCCACCUGUAACAGGGGGAUAACCCGGAGAAAUCCGGACUAAUACCCCAUAAUAUGGGCGCUCCGCAUGGAGAGCCCAUUAAGGAGAGCAAUUUUGGUUACAGACGAGCAUGCGCU